GGGGGGGGGGGGGGGGGGGGGGGGGGCAGGGGGGGCGGGCGGGCAGGCGAGGAGCUGGGUGCUCGGACGGGAGCGGCGGACGGGUGAGGAACACGUGGAUAACCUACCUAUAAGACGGGGAUAACUUCGGGAAACCGGAGCUAAUACCGGAUAAUAUAUUGAACCGCAUGGGUCAAUAGUGAAAGACGGUUUUGCUGUCACCUAUAGAUGGAUCCGCGCCGCAUUAGCUAGUUGGUAAGGUAACGGCUUACCAAGGCAACGAUGCGUAGGCGACCUGAGAGGGUGAUCGGCCCCACUGGAACUGGGACGCGGUCCAGGCUCCUACGGGAGGCCGCAGUAGGGAAUCUUCCGCAAUGGGCGAAAGCCUGACGGAGCAGCGCCGCGUGAGUGAUGAAGGUCUUCGGAUCGUAAAACUCUGUUAUUAGGGAAGAACAAAUGUGUAAGUAACUAUGCACGUCUUGACGGUACCUAAUCAGAAAGCCACGGCUAACUACGUG
RNAcentral lists this ribosomal RNA (497 nucleotides) under uncultured bacterium. RNAcentral's name for it is "partial 16S ribosomal RNA". It matches the Rfam family "Bacterial small subunit ribosomal RNA", at positions 38 to 507 of the family's 1533-position model. The record is from RNAcentral.